Molecule: non-coding RNA, 198 nt
Organism: Oryza glaberrima (African rice)
Lineage: Eukaryota; Viridiplantae; Streptophyta; Magnoliopsida; Poales; Poaceae
Source: Rfam
AAUAACCGCAGUCAUAAGUUUUCGUAUCCAACUUUGAUUGUCCGUCUUAUUUAAAAAAAAUUGUUUGUAUUUUUGUUUUUAUUACAUUAUAAAAUAUGAAUAGUACUUUAUGCGUGACUUAUGUUUUUUAUUUUUUUAAAAAAAAUAAAUAAGACGGAUAAUUAAAGUUGGACACGAAAACUCAUGAUUACGUUUAUU